GAGGGUAUAAUUCAGUGGUAGAGUGCAUGCUUGGCAUGCAUGAGGUCCUGGGUUCAAUUCCCAGUACUUCUA
Molecule: transfer RNA, 72 nt
Filed under: Camelus ferus (Wild Bactrian camel)
Lineage: Eukaryota; Metazoa; Chordata; Mammalia; Artiodactyla; Camelidae
Rfam family: tRNA
About the family: Transfer RNA (tRNA) molecules are approximately 80 nucleotides in length. Their secondary structure includes four short double-helical elements and three loops (D, anti-codon, and T loops). Further hydrogen bonds mediate the characteristic L-shaped molecular structure. tRNAs have two regions of fundamental functional importance: the anti-codon, which is responsible for specific mRNA codon recognition, and the 3' end, to which the tRNAs corresponding amino acid is attached (by aminoacyl-tRNA synthetases). tRNAs cope with the degeneracy of the genetic code in two manners: having more than one tRNA (with a specific anti-codon) for a particular amino acid; and 'wobble' base-pairing, i.e. permitting non-standard base-pairing at the 3rd anti-codon position.
Source: Rfam by way of RNAcentral